Molecule: ribosomal RNA, 406 nt
Filed under: uncultured bacterium
Lineage: Bacteria
Description: partial 16S ribosomal RNA
Rfam family: Bacterial small subunit ribosomal RNA
Source: RNAcentral
AUUGAACGCUGGCGGCAGGCCUAACACAUGCAAGUCGAACGAGUGGCGGACGGGUGAGUACUGUCUGGGAAACUGCCUGAUGGAGGGGGAUAACUACUGGAAACGGUAGCUAAUACCGCAUACCAUCGGAUGUGCCCAGAUGGGAUUAGCUAGUCGGUGGGGUAACGGCUCACCUAUGCGACGAUCCCUAGCUGGUCUGAGAGGAUGACCAGCCACGCUGGAACUGAGGCACAGUCCAGACUCCUACGGGAGGCAGAAGUGGGGGAGAGUGCACAAUGGGCGCAAGCCUGAUGCAGCCAUGCCGCGUGUAUGAAGAAGGCCUUCGGGUUGUAAAGUACUUUCAGCGGGAAGGCGUUACCCGCAGAAGAAGCACCGGCUAACUCCGUGCCAGCAGCCGCGGUAAUUC